GGUCAUUGUCCACCUCCGAGCCUGUCAUUCCGUGGCUGCUUUCUCAUUCUUCUUUUAAUGAUCAUGACCAGGCAGGGCUCCGGCUGCCCCAGAGCCACCCCUCUUAUGGCCCUGUCCCACCCGGACUAUUUUGGGCUUUGUGACCAGCAGGUCAGCCUCACCCCGCUGCGUGCCUGUGGCAAAGGGCAAGGCUUGGCAAGCCCCCCAGGUCCCCUUCUCCAGGCCACUCCCAACUGCCUUCCCCUGAGGCUGCCGCAGCGGUGACCCUGGGCGCUGGGUUUUACAUACACUCCCAGCGGUCAGAGAGGCAGGUGGUCAGUGGUUUUGACCCUGUAGAGCAGAGAGUCUGGUCGUCAUAGUAACAGUCUGCUCCUGUGGGUCUGUUCCAAUAAAACUUUAUUUAUAGGCUCUGAAAUUUGAAUUCCAUCUAAUUUGCAUGUGUUGGAAAUUUCAAUUCUUUUUAAAUUUUUUCCCUUGAUCAUUUAAAAAUGUAAAGCCAGUAGCUCGGUGGUAGAGGACUUGCCAAGCACAUGUGAAGCCCUGGGUUUGAUUCCCAGCCCCACACACGAAAAAUAGGUAAAUUAAAAAAUAAAUAACAAAAUUGCAUCUAGGUGGGGUGGCCACACCUGACAUCCCAGCUGUGUGUGAGGCUGAGGCAGGAGGAUCGCAAGUUCUGUCUCAAAACUAGAAAUAAAAAGGUCUGGGAUGUGGCUCAGUGCCAGGCUCUUGCCCAGCGUGCCUGUGGCAGGGCUCCACCCCAGGACAGCAAAACCUUCAGAUCAACCCACCAACCAAACCCAUGAGCCCAGUUUAUUAGCAUGAGUGCAAUGUACUGUUACUUGAUUUACCCUAAAAGUUGAAAAUACCAUUGAGCAAAACACGAGUCACACUGUGUGCAUGGUUUUUGGUUUGUCAAGUCCCGAAGGAUGUCCUAAAGGGUGUAUGAAGACAGUUAAUACCCACGUAAUGUGUCCACUCAAUG
This 982-nucleotide long non-coding RNA is filed under the name Marmota monax (woodchuck). The record is from RNAcentral. Lineage: Eukaryota; Metazoa; Chordata; Mammalia; Rodentia; Sciuridae.